CAUUCACACAGUCCCUCUACUAUGGGUCUAACAGGGGAGUGGACAUUCACACAGUCCCUCUACUAUGGGUCUAACAGGGGAGUGGACAUUCACACAGUCCCUCUACUAUGGGUCUAACAGGGGAGUGGACAUUCACACAGUCCCUCUACUAUGGGUCUAACAGGGGAGUGGACAUUCACACAGUCCCCUCUACUAUGGGUCUAACAGGGGAGUGGACAUUCACACAGUCCCUCUACUAUGGGUCUAACAGGGGAGUGGACAUUCACACAGUCCCUCUACUAUGGGUCUAACAGGGGAGUGGACAUUCACACAGUCCCCUCUACUAUGGGUCUAACAGGGGAGUGGACAUUCACACAGUCCCCUCUACUAUGGAGUCUAACAGGGAGUGGACAUUCACACAGUCCCCUCUACUAUGGGUCUAACAGGGGAGUGGACAUUCACACAUCCCCUCUACUAUGGGGUCUAACAGGAGAGAGGACAUUCACACAGUCCCUCUACUAUGAGUCUAACAGGGGAGUGGACAUUCACACAGUCCCCUCUAAUAUGGGUCUAACAGGGUAGAGGACAUUCACACAGUCCCUCUACUAUUGGUCUAACAGGGGAGUGGACAUUCACACAGUCCCCUCUACUAUGGGUUUAACAGGGGAGUGGACAUUCACACAGUCCCCUCUACUAUGGGUCUAACAGGAGAGUGGACAUUCACACAGUCCCCUCUACUAUGGCUCUAACAGUGUAGAGGACAUUCACACAGUCCCUCUACUAUGAGUCUAACAGGGGAGUGGACAUUCACACAGUCCCUCUACUAUGGGUCAAACAGGGGAGUGGACAUUCACACAGUCCCCUCUACUAUGGGUCUAACAGGGGAGAGGACAUUCACACAGUCCCCUCUACUAUGGAGUCAAACAGGGGAGUGGACAUUCACACAGUCCCCUCUACUAUGGGUCUAACAGGGGAGUGGACAUUCUCACAGUCCCCUCUACUAUGGAGUCAAACAGGGGAGUGGACAUUCACACAGUUCCUCUUCUAUGGAGUCAAACAGGGGAGAGGACAUUCACACAGUCCCCUCUACUAUGGAUCUAACAGGGGAGUGGACAUUCACACAGUCCCUCUACUAUGGACUCAAACAGGGGAGAGGACAUUCACACAGUCCCCUCUACUAUGGGUCUAACAGGGGAGUGGACAUUCACACAGUCCCCUCUACUAUUGGGUCUAACAGGGGAGUGGACAUUCUCACAGUCCCUCUACUAUGAGUCUAACAGGGGAGUGGACAUUCUCACAGUCCCUCUACUAUGAGUCUAACAGGGGAGAGGACAUUCACACAGUCCCUCUACUAUGAGUCUAACAGGGGAGUGGACAUUCACACAGUCCCCUCUACUAUGGGUCUAACAGGGUAGUGGACAUUCACACAGUCCCCUCUACUAUGGGGUCUAACAGGGGAGAGGACAUUCACACAGUCCCUCUACUAUGGGUCUAACAGGGUAGAGGACAUUCACAAAGUCCCUCUACUAUGAGUCUAACAGGAGAGAGGACAUUCACACAGUCCCCUCUACUAUGGGUCUAACAGGGGAGUGGACAUUCACACAGUCCCCUCUACUAUGGGUCUAACAGGGGAGAGGACAUUCACACAGUCCCCUCUACUAUGGAGUCAAACAGGGGAGUGGACAUUCACACAGUCCCCUCUACUAUGGGUCUAACAGGGGAGUGGACAUUCUCACAGUCCCCUCUACUAUGGAGUCAAACAGGGGAGUGGACAUUCACACAGUUCCUCUUCUAUGGAGUCAAACAGGGGAGAGGACAUUCACACAGUCCCCUCUACUAUGGAUCUAACAGGGGAGUGGACAUUCACACAGUCCCUCUACUAUGGACUCAAACAGGGGAGAGGACAUUCACACAGUCCCCUCUACUAUGGGUCUAACAGGGGAGUGGACAUUCACACAGUCCCCUCUACUAUUGGGUCUAACAGGGGAGUGGACAUUCUCACAGUCCCUCUACUAUGAGUCUAACAGGGGAGUGGACAUUCUCACAGUCCCUCUACUAUGAGUCUAACAGGGGAGAGGACAUUCACACAGUCCCUCUACUAUGAGUCUAACAGG
This 2093-nucleotide long non-coding RNA is filed under the name Salmo salar (Atlantic salmon). RNAcentral's name for it is "lncRNA (ENSSSAG00000118662.1)". The record is from RNAcentral. Lineage: Eukaryota; Metazoa; Chordata; Actinopteri; Salmoniformes; Salmonidae.